GUCUAGCCUAGCGGCUAGUGCCACAUAUUUCUACUCUGUAGACCAGGGUUUGAAUCCCUGGCUACA
RNAcentral lists this transfer RNA (66 nucleotides) under Hordeum vulgare. RNAcentral's name for it is "tRNA-OTHER". Lineage: Eukaryota; Viridiplantae; Streptophyta; Magnoliopsida; Poales; Poaceae. The record is from RNAcentral.